CUAGCCGUAAACGAUGGAUACUAGGCGUUGUGAGUAUCGACCCUCACAGUGUCGUAGCUAACGCGUUAAGUAUCCCGCCUGGGGAGUACGCGCGCAAGCGUGAAACUCAAAGGAAUUGACGGGGGCCCGCACAAGCGGUGGAGUAUGUGGUUUAAUUCGAUGCAACGCGAAGAACCUUACCAGGACUUGACAUGUCGCGAAUCUCAGGGGAACUUGAGAGUGCCUUCGGGAGCGCGAACACAGGUGGUGC
This 250-nucleotide ribosomal RNA is filed under the name uncultured Chroococcidiopsis sp. RNAcentral describes it as "partial 16S ribosomal RNA". It matches the Rfam family "Bacterial small subunit ribosomal RNA", at positions 796 to 1044 of the family's 1533-position model. Lineage: Bacteria; Bacillati; Cyanobacteriota; Cyanophyceae; Chroococcidiopsidales; Chroococcidiopsidaceae. The record is from RNAcentral.